Non-coding RNA from Oryzias latipes (Japanese medaka), 539 nucleotides. The record is from RefSeq and is a predicted model, not a curated record. NCBI's taxonomy places the organism in Eukaryota, Metazoa, Chordata, Actinopteri, Beloniformes, Adrianichthyidae.
CAGUCUUUGAAUUAUCUUUAAUUUCAGUUUUCUUCCAGGUUUUCCUUAUUUGUCUGAAUGUCCACAGAGGACACUCAAUAUCUGCUGCAGCAAGAUCAGGAACAAGCAGAGGUGUGUCAGUGAUCGGUUUCAAAGGAGGACCAAUCUGGAGAAAAUCUGCUGGUGAAAACUUCUGCUGUCGUCUGUGAAGUCUGUUGAACAGGGCUUCAAUUUCUUUUUGAUGGUUCUUUUGGUGGUUUUCUUCAUCAAAAGUCCUUUGUUGCUAAUUUGAUGAAGAAAAAACAUUUUGAAAUUAAAAAAAGAAUAAUAGUCUUUUGGUUUAAUGUAUAGAACAAAUGCUUUUCAGUCUUUGUUCUUAAAAAAAAUGCCAAUUAUGCAUUAUUUAAAAAUGUUCUUUUGUAAGAAGUGUUAAAGAAAUUAAGUAUAAAAAGCAUGGAAUUAAAAUAAAGAGAUUGACAAAAUCUUGGAACAAAAAACAAAAACAAAAAGGAAAAACUGAAGUUAGUAGAGAAGAGAAUAAAAAUCUUGCUGAACUUUUU